CACAAGCGGUGGAGCAUGCGGUUUAAUUCGAAGCAACGCGAAGAACCUUACCAGGUCUUGACAUCCCGAUGCUAUUUCUAGAGAUAGAAAGUUACUUCGGUACAUCGGUGACAGGUGGUGCAUGGUUGUCGUCAGCUCGUGUCGUGAGAUGUUGGGUUAAGUCCCGCAACGAGCGCAACCCCUAUUGUUAGUUGCCAUCAUUCAGUUGGGCACUCUAGCGAGACUGCCGGUAAUAAACCGGAGGAAGGUGGGAUGACGUCAAAUCAUCAUGCCCCUUAUGACCUGGGCUACACACGUGCUACAAUGGCCGGUACAGAGUGACGCGAAGCCGCGAGGUGGAGCAAAUCGCAGAAAGCCGGCCUUAGUUCGGAUUGGAGUCUGAAACUCGACUCCAUGAAGGUGGAAUCGCUAGUAAUCGCGCAUCAGCAUGGCGCGGUGAAUACGUUCCCGGGCCUU
Molecule: ribosomal RNA, 456 nt
Filed under: uncultured Streptococcus sp.
Lineage: Bacteria; Bacillati; Bacillota; Bacilli; Lactobacillales; Streptococcaceae
Description: bacterial SSU rRNA
Rfam family: Bacterial small subunit ribosomal RNA
Source: RNAcentral